RNAcentral lists this transfer RNA (77 nucleotides) under Burkholderiales bacterium. Its description in RNAcentral is "tRNA-Ile". It matches the Rfam family "tRNA". Rfam says of the family: Transfer RNA (tRNA) molecules are approximately 80 nucleotides in length. Lineage: Bacteria; Pseudomonadati; Pseudomonadota; Betaproteobacteria; Burkholderiales. RNAcentral also lists the same sequence under 2 other names. The record is from RNAcentral.
GGGCCGUUAGCUCAGUUGGUUAGAGCAGAGGACUCAUAAUCCUUUGGUCGCUGGUUCGAGUCCAGCACGGCCCACCA